CCCUUAGAUGUCCUGGGCGGCCCGCGCGCUACAAUGUCAGCUACUGAAGGUUAAUGCUUUGAAAGAGAGCGCGCUCUCCUUUUAAUUGCUCGCAUGCUGGGAUAAAUGAAUGCAAUUUUGUUUUGAACGAGGAAUUCCUAGUAGCCAUGUUUCACUAGAAGAUGGCGAAUGCGUCCCUGCCCUUUGUACACACCGCCCGUCGCUCCUACCGAUGAGCGUUUUGGCGAAGACGGUUUGAGUAGCUGUGUAAUUUCGUGUUGUUGACUCCGGCAGUUUGAGCCUUCACGUUUAGAGGAAGGAGAAGUCGUAACA
This 312-nucleotide ribosomal RNA is filed under the name uncultured eukaryote. RNAcentral's name for it is "partial 18S ribosomal RNA". It matches the Rfam family "Eukaryotic small subunit ribosomal RNA", at positions 1470 to 1796 of the family's 1831-position model. The record is from RNAcentral.